GGCGGACAUAGCGACAGGGAAACGCCCGGACCCAUCCCGAACCCGGAAGCUAAGCCUGCCAGCGCCGAUGAUACUA
RNAcentral lists this ribosomal RNA (76 nucleotides) under Mycolicibacterium chitae. The record is from RNAcentral. Lineage: Bacteria; Bacillati; Actinomycetota; Actinomycetes; Mycobacteriales; Mycobacteriaceae.